CUUCAGCCCAAACCAUAAGGUCCAUCUCACCUUCACUGCAACAAAGAAGGGUUGUUAAAGCUGGACACAGAUUUGCUUGGCUUCACCCUCUGAUGUGUUCCACACCACUUCAUGCCACUUUUCAAAAAGAUGAUAAAACGUCAGGCUGAGUAGAACAGAACUGGGUGCAAAUAAAUCUCUCUGAAGCUAACUUGCCUCUCUCUACCCCUACUUCCCUCUGCACGUGCCUUUGCUUUAUUCCCCUGCAUGAGAGAAGCAGUCAAAUCUUUCCCAUUUUCAUACCUGGAUUGCUGCUCAACAGCCUCAACAACUGAGACCUGAAUGUAUCCCCAUUUUAAAGAACCUAACAGAACAUUAAAAUUGUUUCCUGA
Long non-coding RNA from Homo sapiens (human), 371 nucleotides. The record is from Ensembl. NCBI's taxonomy places the organism in Eukaryota, Metazoa, Chordata, Mammalia, Primates, Hominidae.